GAGGGGUUGGCGCAAUUGGUAGCGCGCCAGAUUCCAGAAAUGGGUGUCUCCUGGCGGUUAGCGGUUCAAGUCCGUUAUCCCUCA
Hesseltinella vesiculosa is the source of this 84-nucleotide non-coding RNA. The record is from the annotation of a GenBank genome assembly. NCBI's taxonomy places the organism in Eukaryota, Fungi, Mucoromycota, Mucoromycetes, Mucorales, Cunninghamellaceae.